CAAAAUCCGCCGGGCUUAGAUGAGGGGUGAUAACGAGUCUGCUUGCAGACGAAGUGAGUGAUACCCAGCUUCCAGGAAAAGCCACUAAGCUUCAGCUACACACGACCGUACCGCAAACCGACACUGGUGCGCGAGAUGAGUAUUCUAAGGCGCUUGAGAGAACUCAGGAGAAGGAACUCGGCAAAUUGAUACCGUAACUUCGGGACAAGGUAUGUCCCAAGUAGGUGAACUCGAACAGAGGGAGCCCAACGGGGUUGCAAAAAAUCGGUGGCUGCGACUGUUUAAUAAAAACACAGCACUCUGCAAACACGAAAGUGGACGUAUAGGGUGUGACGCCUGCCCGGUGCUGGAAGAUUAAAUGAUGGGGUGCAAGCUCUUGAUUGAAGUCCCAGUAAACGGCGGCCGUAACUAUAACGGUCCUAAGGUAGCGAAAUUCCUUGUCGGGUAAGUUCCGACCUGCACGAAUGGCGUAACGAUGGCCACACUGUCUCCUCCUGAGACUCAGCGAAGUUGAAAUGUUUGUGAUGAUGCAAUCUCCCCGCGGAAAGACGGAAAGACCCCAUGAACCUUUACUGUAGCUUUGUAUUGGACUUUGAACAGAUCUGUGUAGGAUAGGUGGGAGGCUUUGAAGUGAUGUCGCUAGAUGUCAUGGAGCCAACGUUGAAAUACCACCCUGGUGUGUUUGAGGUUCUAACCUAGGUCCAUUAUCUGGAUCGGGGACAGUGCAUGGUAGGCAGUUUGACUGGGGCGGUCUCCUCCCAAAGCGUAACGGAGGAGUUCGAAGGUACGCUAGUUACGGUCGGACAUCGUGACGAUAGUGCAAUGGCAUAAGCGUGCUUAACUGCGAGACUGACAAGUCGAGCAGAUGCGAAAGCAGGACAUAGUGAUCCGGUGGUUCUGUAUGGAAGGGCCAUCGCUCAACGGAUAAAAGGUACUCUGGGGAUAACAGGCUGAUACCGCCCAAGAGUUCAUAUCGACGGCGGUGUUUGGCACCUCGAUGUCGGCUCAUCUCAUCCUGGGGCUGUAGCCGGUCCCAAGGGUAUGGCUGUUCGCCAUUUAAAGAGGUACGUGAGCUGGGUUUAAAACGUCGUGAGACAGUUUGGUCCCUAUCUUCCGUGGGCGCUGCAGAUUUGAGGAAGCCUGCUCCUAGUACGAGAGGACCGGAGUGGACACACCUCUGGUGUAUCGGUUGUCACGCCAGUGGCAUUGCCGAGUAGCUAAGUGUGGAAGAGAUAACCGCUGAAAGCAUCUAAGCGGGAAACUCGUUUCAAGAUGAGAUCUGCCGGGGCCUUGAGCCC
RNAcentral lists this ribosomal RNA (1298 nucleotides) under metagenome. RNAcentral describes it as "bacterial LSU rRNA". It matches the Rfam family "Bacterial large subunit ribosomal RNA", at positions 1537 to 2827 of the family's 2925-position model. The record is from RNAcentral.